UGAGCAGUAGAGGGAUGAACAAGCAGCAAUGAAGAAGGUUGUUAAGGAUUAUAAGUACAUACUUAUAUCACUCCUGCUUUACAAUUUAUAAACACGUUAAGUCUGAGAGGAUUGAUGCAGCCCUCACUAACUGAGUAUGUGCUACAAAGGAAAUACUUCUGCUGCCUUGAUAUAGUGGGAGUACAAAUAUUUUUAAAACAUGCCAUAUAACUACCAGAACAUUUUCUUCAGCUGUUUUUACAAUUUACAGAAACAUCAUGAGGUUCAAAAUAUUACCCUUGCAGGCAAGGUGCACAUAUCAAAUCAUAAGCCGAUCAUUCUUUUUCUUGGCUUACAGGCUUUUGUUUCAUUGUAAAAUAAACCUCACUGGUAAGAAGCCAAAGGAUUUAAGUUAAUUAGAUGUCUAAAAGGUAAAGGAAGUCGUAUCAGAAGUGCUGUAAGACAACAUGAAAAUGAUAAAAGUACCUUCCUCCAGUGAUUAGAAAGUAAGGUAGACACUGACCUUUACAAUUAUUUUUUCUCCCAGGAAUAGAACAAUACAACCCUUAUUUUCUUCAUGAUGAUCUAAGACUUACUUUUUUUUUUUUUUUUUAAAUAAUGCUGCUCACCUUCCUCAUACACAGGUCCUGUGUCAAGUGCACACUUGCCUAGCCUAAAAAUACACUGGAAGGGGUAGACCCCAACACUUAACAAAUUUGUCAUCAAAGUCAAAGAAACAAUGACAAAUCACACUAGCUGAGAAUCUGCACAACUGUGUCUAACAGAGAGUGAAUACAAAUGUAUACAGCACCCAAUUUAUAAAAUAUAAUGGUUACUAACUAGACUAUAAAAGUAUAAAACCCUGCAAUUUAAAGAAAGAAGAGUAUGGCAUUAGAUAGAAAAAUGUGCUAGAUGUGUGGCCCUAUGUCUCUCCCUAUCCUGCUGCAAGUUUCAGAUUUUGUGACCUUUAUAUUUUGUACUGAAUUCUGAGCAAGACAGAAAUAAAACCACAAAGUCUGUUCUGAACAUGUGACUACUGAACAUACGAAGAAAUAUUUCUUCAUCUCAUGCUCAGACCUCUCACCCUCAUACUGAAAUGUAUGUAGGGCAAGUCUCAAAAUAAAUCUUGGUAGUUGAGCAGCAUCCACUAUCUCUACUUACGAUGAAGGAUGCUUCUACUGGGUUCAUGCUGACUUGGUAGCCUGUUGCUUACUCAUCUUACUGCUCCAGUCUAUGUCUGUACACUCUGUACCACUCUAAAUCUUCUUCCCUGGCACAAAGGUCCAAUACACCUCUUGUACAAUCACUGUACUCAUGGCCUGCCUUCACAUGGGACACAGGACUCCAGCAGUACUCACAGCAAAUUGUGCAGAUCUCUCUCAUCAAUAAAUUUCAACAGCAAGGAACAGUGCCCAGUAGUGAGCUUGAAUAUUAUAUGUAUGCUGGCAUAGCAAAGCACAACAGGUGAAUUAAGAAUGAAAUUUAUAAUCCCAGCUAACAAACAUUCAUGCUUUUGUUGGUUUAAAUUAGGGCUGUCAAAUGAUUUAAAAAGUUGAUUGCAAUUAGUAGCACGAUUAAAAAAAGUGACAAUUAAUCAUUUGACUUACGCAAACUGAUCAACUAGCUAACAAUGCUGUAGUGACUAGUUAAAAAAUGCCAUAUUAUGUCCUGAACUUUGUUCCUCAGGAAAAAAAGAAUGAACCAUAUAAAAGUAGGUUUUAUAACAAAAUUUUAGAAGAAUUGAUUUUUUUUUCUAAUAACAAAGUUGCAAUAUUUUGUAAUAACUCGUAUUCAGUAAAAGAACAGGAAGAAAAAACACAAUUCUGUCCAUAUUUCUGGCUGAAAAUUUAGGACACUUCUUGCAGAAAUAUGGAGUGCUGAAUUAAAUGUGAUAGCACAUGAAAUGAAAGCAGUAACCAGAGGUCAGCUCAUACCAGUUCAGUUUGGCUUCUGCAAAAUUAGUUGCCUACAAUGAUUCAUUGCCAAAAUUCAAAGACAACAGACUUCCAUUUAUCAACUCAGUUUUUUCUUCCUAACAGAUUAUUAUUAUUAAGAUCUCGAAGAAAGAAUGCUUUCAAUAUUUUUUCAGCUACAAAUAAAGAAAAUAUUUCUCAGCUGAAAAUCCAAGUUAGACCUUUUCAGGUAAGUAUUAUGCAGUAAUGUACAUAGCUUUCAACUAAUAGGCAUAGAUUUCACAGGAUAGGUUUUGGACACUGCUAAUAAUAAUACAGUUAAACUGAGGGCACACAACAGUGCACUUCAGUGGUCUACCUAGAAAUGGAGGUCCACAACUGCAUUUGUGAUCAGAGACUCUUGCAGAGAAACCCGCUUUGAAUCUGAUGCAAGAUGAAGUUCCACAAUUGAUUAUUAAAAUAUGGUAAUUAGAGCCACUCUCCUAGACUCAAGUUCUCCAUUCCAGCCAAGGAUAAUUUGGCAAUGAAUCCAAAAUGGGAAACAUAAAAGCAGCUUUAAAUUACUUUAGUGCUUCUCCAAUUCUGUGACUACCCAGAUGCUUACUCAAAACCCCAAGACUGAUAAUGAACCUCAAAGGCUAUAAUGGCAGCCAGGGAUCUACCUGGUUCUGGUCACAGCUCCUUUUUUCCUGAUGUAGCAGCUGAGAGGGGGCAGGUGUCAUAGAAGCAUUUAUGGUAGUGGGUUCCUUUGGCAGCUAAAACUAUGGUAAGUAUGUGGCCUGUUAAGCAAAGUUCAGAACAACUUUGCAGUUUGAGCAGUGCAAACACUCCUAAUGGACCACUGAACAAAAGCCCUUUGGAGGGAAUUCACAAGAGGAGAGUUUGUCUCUGCUGAAGUAACACCAGGGGCAAACGAAGAUUUUUUAAACAGUGGAAAAGAAUUACAAUGAAUAAGCAGGCAAAAUUUGAAAUAUCAGCUCUAUUAUUGCAUUUGUUUGUCAAAGACUCAUUGCUAUUCAUAGAUAGCUAAUAGAGACUAGAACGGGAGUGGUGGUGGAGUACAAAACUAGGAUUGGCUCAGCAAAGAGACUCAGUGCCAAGGAACGAAGGGGAAAAGGCUAAGACCCAACAGGUAGAAAGAAAUUAAGGUCAGAUAAGAAUCCAAGAUGCAAAGUAAGAACACCACAUGCAAUAAAUGAUGCAGGAGUCCUAUGGACAAAAUAUAAUGUGAUAAUAUAAUCAUAAGUCUAUCAUAAUAUAUAUGCAGAAGGACCAAUUAAGGUUGCACAUGCAUUUCUUGAGUACUUGACCGUGUUAGCUCAAUGUUCUCUUAACACGUGUGCCACAAGUGGUACAGGCAACCUCUGUGUGGCACACAGCAGAUCAUGAAUGGGACAGGCAGCACAGCUGCAGCUAGAGCAGGAAGUAGAAAUCAAAGCAGCAGAUCAAACAGG
This is a long non-coding RNA of Gavialis gangeticus (Gharial), 3346 nucleotides long. RefSeq lists it as uncharacterized. NCBI's taxonomy places the organism in Eukaryota, Metazoa, Chordata, Crocodylia, Gavialidae. The record is from RefSeq and is a predicted model, not a curated record. The transcript is spliced from 2 exons.